GUAGGACUACCCGCUGAACUUAAGCAUAUCAAUAAGCGGAGGAAAAGAAACUAACAAGGAUUCCCCUAGUAACUGCGAGUGAAGCGGGAAGAGCUCAAAUUUGAAAUCUCCUUCGGGCGAGUUGUAAACUGGAGAAGCGUUAUCAGACGUCGGCCGCACUAAAGUCUCCUGGAAUGGAGUGUCAUAGAGGGUGAGAAUCCCGUGCUUGGUGCGAUUGCGGCGUUGUAGAGGCGUUUUCUAUGAGUCGAGUUGUUUGGGAAUGCAUCUCAAAAUGGGUGGUAAACUCCAUCUAAAGCUAAAUACUGGCGAGAGACCGAUAGCGAACAAGUACCGUGAGGGAAAGAUGAAAAGGACUUUGGAAAGAGAGUUAAAGAGUACGUGAAAUUGCUGAAAGGGAAGCGCUUGGAGUGAGUCGCGCGGGCGGGAGUCAGCUCUGCGUACUUCCUGCCCGUGGGCCAGCAUCGACCUUGGACGGCGGAUAAGGGCGGUGGGAAUGUGGCAUCUCCGGAUGUGUUAUAGCCUGCUGUCGUACACGCCGACCGGGGUCGAGGACUGCUUAGAGGAUGCUGGCGUAAUGGCUCUAAGCGACCCGUCUUGAAACACGGACC
Molecule: ribosomal RNA, 608 nt
Filed under: uncultured Dacrymycetes
Lineage: Eukaryota; Fungi; Basidiomycota; Dacrymycetes
Description: eukaryotic LSU rRNA
Rfam family: Eukaryotic large subunit ribosomal RNA
Source: RNAcentral